Molecule: ribosomal RNA, 465 nt
Filed under: uncultured bacterium
Lineage: Bacteria
Description: partial 16S ribosomal RNA
Rfam family: Bacterial small subunit ribosomal RNA
Source: RNAcentral
UCCUAACUCUGGCGGCGUGCUUAACACAUGCAAGUCGAACGGAAAGGCCCCCUUGUGGGGUACUCGAGUGGCGAACGGGUGAGUAACACGUGAGUAACCUACCCUUGACUUUGGGAUAACUUCAGGAAACUGGGGCUAAUACCGGAUAGGAGCUCCUGCUGCAUGGUGGGGGUUGGAAAGUUUCGGCGGUUGGGGAUGGACUCGCGGCUUAUCAGCUUGUUGGUGGGGUAGUGGCUCACCAAGGCUUUGACGGGUAGCCGGCCUGAGAGGGUGACCGGCCACAUUGGGACUGAGAUACGGCCCAGACUCCUACGGGAGGCAGCAGUGGGGAAUAUUGCACAAUGGGCGGAAGCCUGAUGCAGCAACGCCGCGUGCGGGAUGACGGCCUUCGGGUUGUAAACCGCUUUCGCCUGUGACGAAGCGUGAGUGACGGUAAUGGGUAAAGAAGCACCGGCUAACUACGUG